GAUGAACGCUGGCGGCGUGCCUAAUACAUGCAAGUCGAGCGAACAGACGAGGAGCUUGCUCCUCUGACGUUAGCGGCGGACGGGUGAGUAACACGUGGAUAACCUACCUAUAAGACUGGGAUAACUUCGGGAAACCGGAGCUAAUACCGGAUAACAUGUUGAACCGCAUGGUUCAACAGUGAAAGACGGUCUUGCUGUCACUUAUAGAUGGAUCCGCGCCGCAUUAGCUAGUUGGUAAGGUAACGGCUUACCAAGGCAACGAUGCGUAGCCGACCUGAGAGGGUGAUCGACCACACUGGAACUGAGACACGGUCCAGACUCCUACGGGAGGCAGCAGUAGGGAAUCUUCCGCAAUGGGCGAAAGCCUGACGGAGCAACGCCGCGUGAGUGAAGAAGGUCUUCGGAUCGUAAAACUCUGUUAUUAGGGAAGAACAAAUGUGUAAGUAACUAUGCACGUCCUGACGGUACCUAAUCAGAAAGCCACGGCUAACUACGUG
This 497-nucleotide ribosomal RNA is filed under the name uncultured bacterium. RNAcentral describes it as "partial 16S ribosomal RNA". It matches the Rfam family "Bacterial small subunit ribosomal RNA", at positions 28 to 507 of the family's 1533-position model. The record is from RNAcentral.